Molecule: long non-coding RNA, 261 nt
Filed under: Lathyrus oleraceus (garden pea)
Lineage: Eukaryota; Viridiplantae; Streptophyta; Magnoliopsida; Fabales; Fabaceae
Description: Pisum sativum (pea) long non-coding RNA (PSAT_LNC001241)
Source: RNAcentral
AAACUUAGCCCUCAAAGGACUCAAAACCCUUAUCACUACCGGCUUCAGAACCGGUAGCAUCAUCACUAUCAUCAUCAUCAUCAUCACCAACAUCCUCAGCAGCACCAGAAGCACCAGCACCAAAAGCACCGGCACCCGCCCCCUCUCCAAACACAGGCCUGUCCACAGGCCAGCUAGCGUGCUGCAGAAACUACUCACGUGUCAUCAUUGAAUGCUCACCGGAGGGGUCACGCACCUGCAACUGUAACAGCUGCAUAGAAU